UGAAUUGAUGUCCAACAAUCAGUGGUAAGAGCAACCCUUUGCCUAUUCUGAAUAAGUUUAUUCUUCAAUGAUUCCUUUGUCUCAUUGUAAAGAUGAGCACAUCCCUAGCAAUUGUUCUUCGAGAAGGAAUAUCAAACUUAGGAUUGAGUUUUUGCACAAACUCUUUAAAACUCAUACUCUCCACAAAGGAAAGGGCAAUUCAUCAAUUAUAGUCAUCCUAACUAGAUAUCUUCUACAUUCUUCUUUAUUAUACACCGAUGAUGUAAGAUUAAACAUGCUACCAUCACCAUUACCACCAAUAUUUCUCUGUUGAGUUAAGGUCUCUUGUUGGUGACCAAACUGAGUAGCCUUAUAUGCAUGACAACUAUCCAAAUGCUUCCACAUACUAGAAGUUCCACCUUUUGAAUUACUUUAAAGGACUUUCUCACAAUAAUUGCAUUUUGAUGUUUCUCUAUUACCUACCUUAGUAAAUCUCAACCAAAUUGCUGAUCUUGUCUUUGUUCUCUUUUUAGUUCCAAGUGUCUCAUCAUACAUCUACAAAAAAUAAAUUAUUUUGCCAUAACCUAUAACAAAUUUAAUUUGAAGAGGAAAAAAAUAAUAAAGGCACACCACAAAUUUUGCUAUUGAAUAGAAAACAAUAAUGAUGGCACACCAC
Molecule: long non-coding RNA, 655 nt
Filed under: Olea europaea subsp. europaea
Lineage: Eukaryota; Viridiplantae; Streptophyta; Magnoliopsida; Lamiales; Oleaceae
Source: RNAcentral